AAAUGAAUAGACGGGGACCCGCACAAGCGGUGGAGCAUGUGGUUUAAUUCGAAGCAACGCGAAGAACCUUACCAAGUCUUGACAUCCUGGUGACAGCAUAUGUAACGUAUGUUCCCUUCGGGGCACCAGAGACAGGUGGUGCAUGGUUGUCGUCAGCUCGUGUCGUGAGAUGUUGGGUUAAGUCCCGCAACGAGCGCAACCCUUAUCUUUAGUAGCCAGCAGUAAGAUGGGAACUCUAGAGAGACUGCCGGGGAUAACCCGGAGGAAGGUGGGGAUGACGUCAAAUCAUCAUGCCCCUUAUGAUUUGGGCUACACACGUGCUACAAUGGCGUGAACAGAGGGAAGCGAAGGGGUGACCUGGAGCAAAUCCCAAAAAACGCGUCUCAGUUCGGAUUGUAGUCUGCAACUCGACUACAUGAAGCUGGAAUCGCUAGUAAUCGCGAAUCAGAAUGUCGCGGUGAAUACGUUCCCGGGUCUUGUACACACCGCCCGU
This 493-nucleotide ribosomal RNA is filed under the name uncultured bacterium. RNAcentral describes it as "bacterial SSU rRNA". It matches the Rfam family "Bacterial small subunit ribosomal RNA", at positions 903 to 1397 of the family's 1533-position model. The record is from RNAcentral.